RNAcentral lists this long non-coding RNA (722 nucleotides) under Rattus norvegicus (Norway rat). RNAcentral describes it as "long non-coding RNA NONRATT017436". Lineage: Eukaryota; Metazoa; Chordata; Mammalia; Rodentia; Muridae. The record is from RNAcentral.
ACACCAGCAGCUAGUACCACUGGUUUAGUAACAGAAACUGGAUUGGUCAAAGCAGCCUCCCGGCUGGAGGAAAGUGAUCCAGAAGUGAUAUGAAGAAUCUUCUAUUGCUUUAUUGAAGAAAUCACUUUCUAAUUUGGGUCCAUCUCCAUCAUUACACAAACAUUAAAAAGGCCACUUGAGUCUGCAAAUCCGGCAGCGGCGGGGCUACGGUCAAGGACAACUCUCGGCGUCUAAGGACGCGUCCCCAGCUUCUCCGACCAGCAGAGGUCCCUAUCUGGCACUGGUGAUGCUGACGUCACACAGUGAGCCUGGCAGUGUUCUCUUCCACUCUAUUUCAAUGAGCAUCGGCAUCAAUUCCCUCCUCUAAGAUCUGGUAGGAUUCGGUGGUGACUCCAUCGGAAACUGUAACCUUAUUUGAAAAGAAGAUCUUCAUACGAAUGUUAUCAAGUCCCUGGGCUCCAGCCAAUGUUUGGCUGUGGGUCUCUGUAUCCACAAAUCUACUAAAUUACUUUUGACAUAAAAAUCUGUUUUAGAGGGGGCUGGAGAGAUGGCUCAGCGGUUAAGAGCUCUCACUGCUCUUCCAGAGGUCCUAAGUUCAAUUCCCAGCAACCACAUGGUGACUCACGUCCAUCUGUAAUGAGAACUGAUGCCCUCUUCUGGUGUGUCUGAAGACAGCUACAGUGUACUCAUAUAGAUAAAAAAUAAAUAAGUCUUUAAAAAUC